This 28-nucleotide non-coding RNA is filed under the name Rattus norvegicus (Norway rat). Lineage: Eukaryota; Metazoa; Chordata; Mammalia; Rodentia; Muridae. The record is from RNAcentral.
UGGCAAGAAAAUUAAGUGGUGAAGAGAC